ACCAACAGUGGUAACCCAGGUGGCCCAGGAAGUCCAAUGUCACCCUGUGGAAGCCAAAGGAGAGACAUUCUGGGUCAUGAACUGUUGCAGUGAGACUCAACUCGUUCUCCUGUUGUGCUGCAGCGCUACAUAUUCUGCACUCAUUGAAAAUCUACUAAUUAACUGCAGGUGGUCUUGGGGAAAGGGAAUAAGGAGAGAGCACUAGCAGGAUUAUUCCAUGCCCACAGACUGCCAGGAUGAAACAUGUUGAUGCAGACAUGGGAAGGAACAUGGAAUGCUCCAAUUCCUCAACUUCCAAAUUCAUAAGAAUGUUGUGGUACCUGUUCUUGGGAGAUCCACCAGAUGCUGUGGAAGAAGGUGUCACAUCUCUACACAUCUUGAUUAUCACGGAGAAAAUAUUCUGCAAACUGUGAGUGCCAGGGCAUCAGCUGCUCCACACACAGCUAACCCAGACCAGCUGGUCCUGCAGAUCCCAAGGACCCAAUCGGCCCCUGAGCUCCCAGAUCACCGGGCUGACCCUGCAAAGAGUCCAAAGAAGAGGAUGAAUGUGUUGUGAACCUCGCAGCAGGCAGCAACUCACAGGUGACUGUGGCUAAA
Myiozetetes cayanensis is the source of this 597-nucleotide long non-coding RNA. RefSeq lists it as uncharacterized. NCBI's taxonomy places the organism in Eukaryota, Metazoa, Chordata, Aves, Passeriformes, Tyrannidae. The transcript has 4 exons. The record is from RefSeq and is a predicted model, not a curated record.